CAAGGCUAAAAACUUAUAAUACGGGUGUGAAGAGACACUCCGCUCACGAGACGAGACACAAGAUUGGGUUCACGAGAACGAGACGAGACUUUAACACUAUUUUAAAGAAAACUUAAAUGAUGAAAUAUGACUGGAAACAUAGUCUUUUAUUCAAUCGAAAGUCACAAAAUGAAUAUCGAGCACUGUGAAAGGUUUUGCCAUAAACUCAAAUGGCUUCUCUGCUGUAUAACUAA
Long non-coding RNA from Sander lucioperca (pikeperch), 233 nucleotides. RefSeq lists it as uncharacterized. The record is from RefSeq and is a predicted model, not a curated record. NCBI's taxonomy places the organism in Eukaryota, Metazoa, Chordata, Actinopteri, Perciformes, Percidae. The transcript is spliced from 3 exons.